Molecule: long non-coding RNA, 795 nt
Filed under: Ornithorhynchus anatinus (platypus)
Lineage: Eukaryota; Metazoa; Chordata; Mammalia; Monotremata; Ornithorhynchidae
Description: lncRNA (ENSOANG00000040603.1)
Source: RNAcentral
UACCGACAUUAUUAUUAUCAUUAAUCAACAGACCGUCACUGUCGGCUUUGCCUUUGAGUCUCAAGUAGCCAAGUGUCACUCAGCUCCACAUUUUCAAUGAACUCUGUUCUUCCCAGUGCACGACGGAUGCUCCAAAGUCAUAAGAUGUUUUUUCUUUAUAAAUCUUGAUAGAAAACGUCUCAGCCAACACUUAGGUCCAAACCAGGAAUCUCUGGGGUUAUCUUCCGGAAGAAGAAACCAGGGAGACGAUACAUUUUACAUAGACCGAUACGGCUUGGAAACCUACAUAAUUGAUACCGAGGGUCCAUAAACGCUUUGAACCAUCAAAGCGGAUCAGAGUUGUGGGGAAACGCGCCGAAGGAAGAAGAAACUUAAAGAAAAAUGGAACAUUUCUUCUGUUCCCAUUGAAAAGGCAUCUUGACAGGUUUGGGAAGGUGUUGUCAUUUACUGCAGAUUCUAAGAGGCGAGUUGAGUGUAACUUUUUGGUCCUGGGAGAUGUCAAGAAAAUAAGCUCAUCAGAGAAGAUAUUCAUCCGGUUCCCCGACCUUCAGACCCGAGUGGACUCCGGCUUCUCCACGUUGAGACCUCACCGCCGUCGUAUUGACAGGAUGAGGCCUUGUUUUCUCUGGCCCAGACAACUGAAAGCGGAUCCCGCCCUGAGGAGAAAGAUCCCCGAAAUGAAAUUGAGCGCGUGUGAGGUGAGAAUCGACGUUCCCUUGACCCCGUAGGAGAGGAAUCGGGUACAUCAACUCCAUGAGUUAAUACACCGAUGCACAGAUAUUCAAGAUAAAAACG